RNAcentral lists this ribosomal RNA (1397 nucleotides) under uncultured bacterium. RNAcentral describes it as "bacterial SSU rRNA". It matches the Rfam family "Bacterial small subunit ribosomal RNA". The record is from RNAcentral.
AGAGUUUGAUCCUGGCUCAGGACGAACGCUGGCGGCGCGCCUAACACAUGCAAGUCGAACGAGCGAGAGGAGGUUUACUUUCUCAAGCGAGUGGCGAACGGGUGAGUAACGCGUGAGGAACCUGCCUCAAAGAGGGGGACAACAGUUGGAAACGACUGCUAAUACCGCAUAAGCCCACGACCCGGCAUCGGGUAGAGGGAAAAGGAGCAAUCCGCUUUGAGAUGGCCUCGCGUCUGAUUAGCUUGUCGGCGGGGUAACGGCCCACCAAGGCGACGAUCAGUAGGGGUUCUGAGAGGAAGGUCCCCCACAUUGGAACUGAGACACGGUCCAAACUCCUACGGGAGGCAGCAGUGAGGAAUAUUGGUCAAUGGGCGAGAGCCUGAACCAGCCAAGUAGCGUGCAGGAUGACGGCCCUAUGGGUUGUAAACUGCUUUUAUAAGGGAAUAAAGUGAGUCUCGUGAGACUUUUUGCAUGUACCUUAUGAAUAAGGACCGGCUAAUUCCGUGCCAGCAGCCGCGGUAAUACGGAAGGUCCGGGCGUUAUCCGGAUUUAUUGGGUUUAAAGGGGGCGUAGGCCGGAGAUUAAGCGUGUUGUGAAAUGUAGACGCUCAACGUCUGCACUGCAGCGCGAACUGGUUUCCUUGAGUACGCACAAAGUGGGCGGAAUUCGUGGUGUAGCGGUGAAAUGCUUAGAUAUCACGAAGAACUCCGAUUGCGAAGGCAGCUCACUGGAGCGCAACUGACGCUGAAGCUCGAAAGUGCGGGUAUCGAACAGGAUUAGAUACCCUGGUAGUCCGCACGGUAAACGAUGGAUGCCCGCUGUUGGUCUGAAUAGGUCAGCGGGCCAAGCGAAAGCAUUAAGCAUCCCACCUGGGGAGUACGCCGGCAACGGUGAAACUCAAAGGAAUUGACGGGGGCCCGCACAAGCGGAGGAACAUGUGGUUUAAUUCGAUGAUACGCGAGGAACCUUACCCGGGCUUGAAUUGCAGAGGAAGGAUUUGGAGACAAUGACGCCCUUCGGGGCCUCUGUGAAGGUGCUGCAUGGUUGUCGUCAGCUCGUGCCGUGAGGUGUCGGCUUAAGUGCCAUAACGAGCGCAACCCCUCUCCUUAGUUGCCAUCAGGUCAAGCUGGGCACUCUGGGGACACUGCCACCGUAAGGUGUGAGGAAGGUGGGGAUGACGUCAAAUCAGCACGGCCCUUACGUCCGGGGCUACACACGUGUUACAAUGGCAGGUACAGAGAGAUGGUGUUCUGCAAAGCGCAUCUAAUCCUUAAAGCCUGUCUCAGUUCGGACUGGGGUCUGCAACCCGACCCCACGAAGCUGGAUUCGCUAGUAAUCGCGCAUCAGCCAUGGCGCGGUGAAUACGUUCCCGGGCCUUGUACACACCGCCCGUCAAG